GGUGGCUCAGUGGUAGAGCGCUUGCCUCGCAUGCAUGAAGCCCUGGGUUCGAUUCCCCAGCACCA
This 65-nucleotide transfer RNA is filed under the name Dipodomys ordii (Ord's kangaroo rat). It matches the Rfam family "tRNA". Rfam says of the family: Transfer RNA (tRNA) molecules are approximately 80 nucleotides in length. Their secondary structure includes four short double-helical elements and three loops (D, anti-codon, and T loops). Further hydrogen bonds mediate the characteristic L-shaped molecular structure. tRNAs have two regions of fundamental functional importance: the anti-codon, which is responsible for specific mRNA codon recognition, and the 3' end, to which the tRNAs corresponding amino acid is attached (by aminoacyl-tRNA synthetases). tRNAs cope with the degeneracy of the genetic code in two manners: having more than one tRNA (with a specific anti-codon) for a particular amino acid; and 'wobble' base-pairing, i.e. permitting non-standard base-pairing at the 3rd anti-codon position. The record is from Rfam by way of RNAcentral. Lineage: Eukaryota; Metazoa; Chordata; Mammalia; Rodentia; Heteromyidae.